RNAcentral lists this ribosomal RNA (2916 nucleotides) under Vibrio parahaemolyticus. RNAcentral's name for it is "23S ribosomal RNA". The record is from RNAcentral. Lineage: Bacteria; Pseudomonadati; Pseudomonadota; Gammaproteobacteria; Vibrionales; Vibrionaceae.
GUUGUAUGGUUAAGUGACUAAGCGUACACGGUGGAUGCCUUGGCAGUCAGAGGCGAUGAAAGACGUAGUAACUUGCGAUAAGCCCAGAUUAGGUAGUAACAACCAUUUGAGUCUGGGAUUUCUGAAUGGGGAAACCCACGUGCAUAAGCACGUAUCCUUACCUGAAUACAUAGGGUAAGGAGGCGAACCGGGGGAACUGAAACAUCUAAGUACCCCGAGGAAAAGAAAUCAACCGAGAUUCCGAAAGUAGCGGCGAGCGAAAUUGGACUAGCCCUUAAGCUUUACACGCGUUAGACGAACGGUCUGGAAAGUCCGACGAUACAGGGUGAUAGUCCCGUAGUUGACGACGUGUGUUCAGUGAAAUCGAGUAGGGCGGGACACGUGAUAUCCUGUCUGAAUAUGGGGGGACCAUCCUCCAAGGCUAAAUACUACUGACUGACCGAUAGUGAACCAGUACCGUGAGGGAAAGGCGAAAAGAACCCCUGUGAGGGGAGUGAAAUAGAACCUGAAACCGUGUACGUACAAGCAGUAGGAGCAGGCUUUGUCCUGUGACUGCGUACCUUUUGUAUAAUGGGUCAGCGACUUAUAUUCAGUGGCAAGGUUAACCAUCUAGGGGAGCCGUAGGGAAACCGAGUCUUAACUGGGCGUUCAGUCUCUGGAUAUAGACCCGAAACCAGGUGAUCUAGCCAUGGGCAGGUUGAAGGUUGAGUAACAUCAACUGGAGGACCGAACCGACUAAUGUUGAAAAAUUAGCGGAUGACUUGUGGCUAGGGGUGAAAGGCCAAUCAAACCUGGAGAUAGCUGGUUCUCCCCGAAAGCUAUUUAGGUAGCGCCUCGGACGAAUACUACUGGGGGUAGAGCACUGUUAAGGCUAGGGGGUCAUCCCGACUUACCAACCCUUUGCAAACUCCGAAUACCAGUAAGUACUAUCCGGGAGACACACGGCGGGUGCUAACGUCCGUCGUGGAGAGGGAAACAACCCAGACCGCCAGCUAAGGUCCCAAAUUACUACUAAGUGGGAAACGAUGUGGGAAGGCUCAGACAGCCAGGAUGUUGGCUUAGAAGCAGCCAUCAUUUAAAGAAAGCGUAAUAGCUCACUGGUCGAGUCGGCCUGCGCGGAAGAUGUAACGGGGCUAAGUAGUAAACCGAAGCUGCGGCAAUAUACUUUUGUAUAUUGGGUAGGGGAGCGUUCUGUAAGCGGUUGAAGGUGUGUGGUAACGCAUGCUGGACGUAUCAGAAGUGCGAAUGCUGACAUGAGUAACGAUAAAGGGGGUGAAAAACCUCCUCGCCGGAAGACCAAGGGUUCCUGUCCAACGUUAAUCGGGGCAGGGUAAGUCGACCCCUAAGGCGAGGCCGAAAGGCGUAGUCGAUGGGAAACGGGUUAAUAUUCCCGUACUUCUUACAAUUGCGAUGGGGGGACGGAGAAGGCUAGGUGGGCCUGGCGACGGUUGUCCAGGUUCAAGUGCGUAGGCUUAAGAGUUAGGUAAAUCCGGCUCUUUYUAAGGCUGAGACACGACGUCGAGCACCUACGGGUGUGAAGUCAUUGAUGCCAUGCUUCCAGGAAAAGCCUCUAAGCUUCAGAUUGUAAGGAAUCGUACCCCAAACCGACACAGGUGGUCGGGUAGAGAAUACCAAGGCGCUUGAGAGAACUCGGGUGAAGGAACUAGGCAAAAUGGUACCGUAACUUCGGGAGAAGGUACGCUCUYGAYGGUGAAGUCCCUUGCGGAUGGAGCURWYGAGAGUCGCAGAUACCAGGUGGCUGCAACUGUUUAUUAAAAACACAGCACUGUGCAAAAUCGUAAGAUGACGUAUACGGUGUGACGCCUGCCCGGUGCCGGAAGGUUAAUUGAUGGGGUUAGACUUCGGUCGAAGCUCUUGAUCGAAGCCCCGGUAAACGGCGGCCGUAACUAUAACGGUCCUAAGGUAGCGAAAUUCCUUGUCGGGUAAGUUCCGACCUGCACGAAUGGCGUAAUGAUGGCCACGCUGUCUCCACCCGAGACUCAGUGAAAUUGAAAUCGCUGUGAAGAUGCAGUGUACCCGCGGCUAGACGGAAAGACCCCGUGAACCUUUACUACAGCUUGGCACUGAACAUUGACCCUACAUGUGUAGGAUAGGUGGGAGGCUUUGAAGCACGUACGCCAGUAUGUGUGGAGCCGUCCUUGAAAUACCACCCUUGUAGUGUUGAUGUUCUAACGUCGACCCCUUAUCGGGGUUGCGGACAGUGCCUGGUGGGUAGUUUGACUGGGGCGGUCUCCUCCCAAAGAGUAACGGAGGAGCACGAAGGUGGGCUAAUCACGGUUGGACAUCGUGAGGUUAGUGCAAUGGCAUAAGCCCGCUUGACUGCGAGAAUGACAAUUCGAGCAGGUGCGAAAGCAGGUCAUAGUGAUCCGGUGGUUCUGAAUGGAAGGGCCAUCGCUCAACGGAUAAAAGGUACUCCGGGGAUAACAGGCUGAUACCGCCCAAGAGUUCAUAUCGACGGCGGUGUUUGGCACCUCGAUGUCGGCUCAUCACAUCCUGGGGCUGAAGUCGGUCCCAAGGGUAUGGCUGUUCGCCAUUUAAAGUGGUACGCGAGCUGGGUUUAGAACGUCGUGAGACAGUUCGGUCCCUAUCUGCCGUGGGCGUUGGAAGAUUGAAGGGGGCUGCUCCUAGUACGAGAGGACCGGAGUGGACGAACCUCUGGUGUUCGGGUUGUGUCGCCAGACGCAUUGCCCGGUAGCUAAGUUCGGAAUCGAUAACCGCUGAAAGCAUCUAAGCGGGAAGCGAGCCCUGAGAUGAGUCUUCCCUGAUACUUUAAGUAUCCUAAAGGGUUGUCGGAGACUACGACGUUGAUAGGUCAGGUGUGUAAGUGCUGUGAGGCAUUGAGCUAACUGAUACUAAUUGCCCGUGAGGCUUAACCAUACAACACCCAAGGGGUUU